GAUUAUUGGGCGUAAGCGCGCGCAGGCGGUUCCUUAAGUCUGAUGUGAAAGCCCCCGGCUCAACCGGGGAGGGUCAUUGGAAACUGGGGAACUUGAGUGCAGAAGAGAAGAGUGGAAUUCCACGUGUAGCGGUGAAAUGCGUAGAGAUGUGGAGGAACACCAGUGGCGAAGGCGACUCUUUGGUCUGUAACUGACGCUGAGGCGCGAAAGCGUGGGGAGCAAACAGGAUUAUUAUACCCUGGUAGUCCACGCCGUAAACGAUGAUUGCUAAUUGUUAGAGGGUUUCCGCCCUCUAGUGCUGCAGCAAACGC
Molecule: ribosomal RNA, 311 nt
Filed under: Cytobacillus firmus
Lineage: Bacteria; Bacillati; Bacillota; Bacilli; Caryophanales; Bacillaceae
Description: bacterial SSU rRNA
Rfam family: Bacterial small subunit ribosomal RNA
Source: RNAcentral